GAAAAUAAUGAGGGACUUGCAAACAAGAAUUAUUUUUCCUAUUAUGAUAAAUUACUGUGAUUUUCUUUAUUUUGUUUCGUCAAACUACAAUGUAUGUAUAGAAAUUAAAUACCUCAAGUGGCCUUCAUACAAGAUUCGAAAUGUAAAGUAUUUGACUAUUUUGAAACUUUUGUAUAUAUACGGCGGAAAACUCAGAUGAAAUUUUUCGGCACGAAGAUUGCGAUUUGAAAUACAAAUGUGACAUUUCUGAUCAAUGGAAUAGUAUCUAUUCCCAGUGGUUCUUGCCUGUAAUAUGAAUUUACAUAACAUGGUGGUUUUAAACCUUGAUUUUAUAUGCAAAUGGCCUUGAAAUUCUAUCCCAUCCAAGGUUACUCAUGUACGUUUCUCUCUUGAAGAAAAAAUGUGUCAAUAUCUGUUUUAGAAACAUCAAAAAUAACUUUGUACCCCUGUUUUAGCCCUCCCAAGAGACCCAGAUGCUAUAGAACCUGUUGGUCUUGAGAAGAAACAUUUUCACUUUCUAUUCCUAUGUUGAAAUUUAAUCUUUUAGCAAGGUUGUGUAAACAUUAAGAUGCUUUUAUGAAAAUUGAAAUAAGAUGUAUUUUAUUACAUGUAGGUUAAAAUGAAAAUAUGCCAGCUCUUAAAUUAUCUCUCUUUGUUUUAGAUCACAGACAAAUAUGAAAAGAGGAAAAAGAACUUCAAAUGAAGUUGCGGAUACCUCGUCCAAAUGGAACUAUCCUGAUAAAGAAUCUGAAGUUGUAGGUGCAGGAAUUGAAAGAUUCUACCGAAGAUCAUCUAAUUUCUUAAUCAAAAAAUGCAUAGUGUA
Long non-coding RNA from Saccostrea cuccullata (small rock oyster), 823 nucleotides. RefSeq lists it as uncharacterized. The record is from RefSeq and is a predicted model, not a curated record. The transcript has 3 exons. Lineage: Eukaryota; Metazoa; Mollusca; Bivalvia; Ostreida; Ostreidae.